Medicago truncatula (barrel medic) is the source of this 504-nucleotide long non-coding RNA. RefSeq lists it as uncharacterized. Lineage: Eukaryota; Viridiplantae; Streptophyta; Magnoliopsida; Fabales; Fabaceae. The record is from RefSeq and is a predicted model, not a curated record. The transcript is spliced from 2 exons.
UCUUGAAACUCUCUAAGUGUUCAAAACUAUUGAAUUCAAGUAAAUAAACAAGUGUCUUUUACAUUUUUUUUAGACCAAGCCUUUGAAGUUAAGCGUCUUUUACAUUAUAAAGUGAUCAAACAAUUCUCCAUUUCUAUGAUGCAUAUGUGGUAAUAUAUGGCUAAAAUUCUCAAAUUCGUGUAUGCUACAAUUCUCAUUAUUUUUCUAUUUGUCAUAGCAACUGAAGUCAACGCAUUUCGUAAUCCCUGCAAAUCUGACUCUGAUUGUACAAAAUUGAAAUUGAAAUGUGAUCGUCAUACGAUUUUGACAUGCUUCUGGAGGCAUUGUUACUGCAUAUUCUAAUUAGCCAAGGAUGCUUCUUUUUUUAAAAAAAAAAAUAUUGUUAUGAUAUUUAUAAACUAGGCAUAUUGUGUUAUAUGUAUCAUGGGUUUUGUUUUGGCACCCUUUGUGUUAAUAUUCAUGAAGUUUGAUUUUAGCUAAUAAAAAAAUGUUAAAGUAUUGAAA